GGAGGAGGGGAGGGACAGGCAGAGCCGGGGAGUUACGAAGAGAAUGAGGGGAGGCGGCCGUAAAGGGCAGAAGAAAGGACAACAACCGGGAUGGUCCGCGUGGGAUGGAAUGAUCACUGGGGCCCGGUGGAUGCGCUUUGUUCUGGGUGCGAUGGGAGCCUUCUCCCCUGAGGCCCCGGGCUGUGGAUGCGCUGGGUGCCCGGAGGAGCCGCUGCAGGACUGGACAGAGCCACGCUCCCUGGACGGAUAGGACGGGCCGAGGUUUUCUCUUUCCUGGGCUAGGGGCUUCAGCCUUUAGACCUUGAAGGAUUCUCAGAAAUCCAACGCCCGUUUUACAGAUAGGAAAAUGAAGACCUAGGCUAGCCCGAAACCACGGAAAGAGUAGGAAGCAGAAUUGGAACUCGGAUCCCGCAGGACUCAGCUUUCCUGCCCGGGCUCCUUAGUCCGUGCCCGCUGCUAACACUCCCUCGUGCUCAUGGGGGCCCGCAGGGAUGCCGUGUGUCAGCAGGACCUGGCGCGGGUGAGAGCACUCCGAAAGGCGGCGGGCCUGAGGGGUGGGAUGCGGACGGCUUUCCAGAACCCAAGCCAGCAUCUCCCCUGCCUGUCGGUGGAUGGGCGCUCUUGGUUCGGCGGAGCUCCUUCCCACUCGGAGCCUCCACGAGGGAUGUGCUCGUGCUGGCCCCGCGCUCGGGGGUUUCUAGCGGGACUCUGUCGGUUGGUUAGCGGGCCAUUGUUAACCCUCUUCCUGGGCUUUCCUGGCCCCAGAACUAGCCCGGAGCCUUGCGGAUGGCAGUGAGAGCUGGUAGGGCUUCCCACCCCUCCCCGAAUACCUGAUAACCCUGGCUCUAAGCGUCUUUGAUUCCGACACCCCACCCCUCCCCAGCCUCUCCCGCUCCCGGGUUUUCCCGCACAGGGUGAUGGGGCCAACUCCUCUUUGGAGAAGCAGAAACGGAGACCCUGUUAAGUACCUGAGGCAGGAUUCGAACUCAGGUCUUCUGACUGCCCACAGGAUAGGAUCACAGCAUUUUGAGCUGGAAGCGGAAGGAAACCUCUUUACUCAGCCGCUCUGGGCAGCCUACCGGGCUCCGAAACUCCCGAGGCAAAGCCGGAAGAACCUCUCCUUCCCUCCGUCCCACGGAAGGAGCUCCGACUAGGGGAAAGUCCUGAAGGGAGAAAUCUCCAAGGCAACGAGGAAUUUCAAACGGCCGAGGCUAUCCAGAUCAGCAUCGGCAUCUUUCAGUUGUUCUUGGGGAUCCUGUGGUUCUACCUCUACCUGACCCAGUUUGCAGACUCUUUUCUCACUUACAAGACCUUAAUUUGGAAUGCGAAAUACCCAUUAUUAUCAGCGUUUAUCUACACCUUUGCAGGACUCCUUACCAUCAUCACAGAGAAGAAACGCCAGCGUUUUCUGGCAAAGAUCACAGUGGGGAUAAACAUCAUUGGCAUCAUCUAUUCCGUCUAUGGACUGAUAACAUUAGUCAUUGAGUUUCUUAAUUACGAUUCUUACUUUCUGCAUAAAUAUUGGCCCGAGAACUCUGGAAAGUUACUUUCAAAUUAUUUGUUCAUCUACACUGUCUUGUUCAUCUUGGUCUCCUGGAUGGUCCUCAAGUGGAACCACAAGGCCGUCUAUUACUCCCCCCACUGAAUGUCUCCUUCCUCUCCGGCAACACAGCCCUGCCCUCCCAGACCCAUCUUAAAGAUGUCAAGGUCUGAGCCAAACUCCUUUGCUGCUCAGCUCUGGCUGAAGAAUCUGGGAAGGAGAGGACCUAGGGAUAACAGCAAGGAUUCCACCGAAGACCGUGCUCAGAUCUAAAAUGUUCCUUUUUGCAUGGUUUGGUAGCUUCACUGGUGUCUGUGGCUGGCCCCGACGUGGGGCUGGUAUCUCAUGCUUCCCAUUGUGUGCCCAAAAAGGCUCCCACCCUCUCCUCUCAGAAGGGUUCCUAUGGUGUGGGAAGGGGCCAUGGGAGCUUCAGCUCAGUCUUACUUGGAUGACUUGUUUACCAGAGCUUAGGGCAAUCAGAUGGCAGAGCAUCCAUUGAAAAGCCUAGAAAACCAGUAGGACCCCCAGUAAAGAAAGAAUGGGCAGUUGAGUAUGGAUGGCUAUUUGAAAAUGUCAACAAUGUCUUUUCUAAAUGUUUCUUUUUUCUGUUCAAUAAAAGUGAAAUGAAGAUA
Monodelphis domestica (gray short-tailed opossum) is the source of this 2172-nucleotide non-coding RNA. NCBI's taxonomy places the organism in Eukaryota, Metazoa, Chordata, Mammalia, Didelphimorphia, Didelphidae. The record is from RefSeq and is a predicted model, not a curated record.